UAAUAAAGUGUUUUAUGGCACUUUUUAAAAAAAAUCCAUAUCCACCUUGUGUGCAAUGUAUUUUAGAUCUCGCCAAAUUAUUUUUUGAUAAUUUGGCAAGGUUUUAUUAUAUUACAUCAACUCUUUUUUAAUAUGAUUUGUCUGAAAAAUAUUAUGAAUUGUCAACUUAAUUCAAAAUA
RNAcentral lists this unclassified non-coding RNA (179 nucleotides) under uncultured Mortierellaceae. RNAcentral's name for it is "sequence contains ITS1". The record is from RNAcentral. Lineage: Eukaryota; Fungi; Mortierellomycota; Mortierellomycetes; Mortierellales; Mortierellaceae.